AAUCCUACCCAGAACAAACCUGCAGGAAAAGUGUUCGUGAUGAGUCAUAACGAGGCAGAGAGAUCUGCGGAUGUGGUAACUGGCGGAGAAUUCACUGUAGGGGACUUUUAGUGCUUAAAAGUGGCCUACCGUAACGUUUAUACGAGAGUCAAUAAAGCAUUGACAUUACAGGUUCGAAGAUGCAUACAUUGGGGAAUCUGGAAUGGAGAGGCUAUUGAGAUAGUAGCAUUUAAGUUGUGUCUAGGAGUUUAUAGUUCCAGACUUUAGCUUUGAGUUGGUGUGUUUCAGUUCAAACAUUGUUUGACUCUUAUUUCAUAAGUUCAAUAAAGUUGGUUUUGUUUUAGUAAGUUUUCCGCUGCAAAAUUCUGAGUAAGCCGAAACGUUUUCACACGGGCGAUAAUGCCUGGGUAAUUCUCUAAGUUUUAUAUUAUAAAGUAUUUUCUGGAAAGAG
Molecule: long non-coding RNA, 451 nt
Organism: Beta vulgaris subsp. vulgaris (sugar beet)
Lineage: Eukaryota; Viridiplantae; Streptophyta; Magnoliopsida; Caryophyllales; Amaranthaceae
Exons: 3
Source: RefSeq, a predicted model, not a curated record